GCAGCAGAUGAGCCUGUAGAGCUGGAAGCAGAGCUGCAGGAAGGUGCAGAGCCAUGGGAGACAGUUCCCCUCCUUCCCCCGGGCUCUGCUGGGGGCUCAGGCAGGAGCCGGGCCCCAGGCCCAAGAGGCUGUCGGAUUCCGCAGGGCAGGCGCAGGCCCUGCAGUCAGCUAAGAAAGCCUGCGUGCUGAGGCGAGGCUGCAGCACUCCAGAUCCAGCAGGGCACCCUCUCCUCCCUUCCCCAGGCUCGGGCUGCUCCCUUUUCCUGGAUGAGAGCGGCCAGGACGAGCUGGGUGCCAGUUUUUCCGUGUCCAAGUACAAUGACGUGGCCAUUUCCCUGGACGUCAGCAGGUGCUUCGACGACAGCGAGCUGGACGAUUCCCUGCUGGAGCUGUCAGGCAGCGAGAAAGGGAGUUCUCCCUUUGAUUACACCGAGGAGGAGAUCCAGGAGAUCUUGGCUGAUGAUUCCAUGGAAGCUGAGCAGCAGCAGCAGCAGCACCUGGCUGGGGAAAGCCACCUGAGCCAAAGUGACAGCGGAGAGAGCGACAAGGCGGAGAGCGACUGCGCCACGGGGACAUCAGCCAGUGAAUCGGCCUCAGAGGGACCAAAGGAAGCUCAGGAGCCUCUCUCAGGCAGCUCUGGGUGUGAUCCUGGUUUUUUCACUCUGGAUGGGGCCCAGCUGCAGCAGGAGCUGGACCUUGACCUGCAGGAGCUGCUGAGCCUGAGCCCGUUCGCCGCCGCCUGCGCCGACGAGGCUCUGGAGGAAAAUAACCUGGAAAGAGAAACUUUGGAUGCAAUGAUAGAUGAUUGCUUGGGAUAUUCCACAGCUGCUGGGAGCUGCAUUCCUGAAAAAUCCACGGAGGGGGUGACGCCCAAAGGCCAGGAAAGUCAGGAUUGCCUGGGAAAAUCCGUGUCCUCAUCCGACCUUCCCUGUGGCCAGAGCACAGGGGAUGAGGGUCCAGCAUCUGCCUUGCCACCAAAACAAGAACUUCCCAAAGCAACCACGAGCUGUUCCUCCAGGAAAUCAGGCUCUCCAGAGGAUGCUGAAAGGGAAUCCACAGGAGCUGAGCAGCCACCAGGCAGCACUAAAUCAAGUGACACAGCUGGAGGCCAGACUGGGCAGGAAGAGCCACCCGGUGGGAAGAAAAGUGGCAGAGUAAUUCCUGUCCCACAGGAGGAGGAAGAAAGGCCGAAACAACGGAUCUGCGUUUCAGAAGCUCAGCCUGAGCAAAAGAAACGUUUCUCUGCAGGCUGUGCCCAUCCAAGUGAGGAAAAGUGUGGCUAUUACCUCAGCCAGAAGCAACUCUGA
Molecule: long non-coding RNA, 1307 nt
Filed under: Cyanoderma ruficeps (rufous-capped babbler)
Lineage: Eukaryota; Metazoa; Chordata; Aves; Passeriformes; Timaliidae
Description: lncRNA (ENSCRFG00000010651.1)
Source: RNAcentral